UGGGAAUCGAACCUGAGGCCCCUCACUCCGGGACAAUGCCCAGCCAACUGAGCCACACCGCUCAGGGCUAGUCUUAUCCUUCUUUCAUAUUGCAAAUACUUUCAAAGUACAACUCACAUCAAGUUUGCACCUUGUUUUAUUCUAUAUAAUGUUACUUAUUUGAAAUUACAUAUAUGUAAAAUGUAUAGGCUGCUGCAAAAUAUAAAGGCUAAAAGUACAAACUCUGGAGACAAAAAGACCUCAGUUCAAAAUCUAGUGUGGCACACACCAACAUCCCCACACCAGCUAUUUACCUUUUGGAACGUGUUUCCUUGCUGGAAAUACGGUUGAUAAAGCCAUUUAUGUGACAGGCUUAUUGGAGACAAUGCAAGUAAAGUGCUUAGAACAGAGUCCCUGGCACACAGUAAGCACCUAAUAAAUAUCAGCUGUUGUUCAUUUUCAAUAUAAUAAAAUAAGCUUUCAAAUGAAUUCCACAUUGCUAUUCUGAAGUCAAGCAAAGAAUAGUCUCAAUAUGUAAAUAAUCAUUCCCAACUAACCUUCAGGGAUUACUUUGCAUGGUAGAAACAGAAUGAAUUAGGAGACAGAAAACUUGGGUUCCAUUUUUAGCUCUGCCGCCUACUGGCUGUGCGACCAGAAGUCUGCCUGUCAGCCUCUCGGAGCCUGCAUCACAGGGUUGGUGAGUAAAAUGAUACCAUGGCUUCAAAACCAUCUUGUAAUUACAAAGAACUAUCUACAUGUAAGUUAAACAUCAGAAUUUAUUUACUUUGUGAAUUCUUAAUUUAUUCUCAAAUUCCUGUUUCACAUGGCUUCUCAUAUAUGGGCUAAUUUAAACAUAAGAAAUGUGCACUUAGGCAUGUCUGUAUGUGAAUUUGUAUUAAAAUGUUUUUAAACGUCUGGAAGAAAGGACAGUAAACUUUUGGCAGCCAUUGCCUCUAAGGAUAAGUAAGGUUAGACUGGCUGAGGAAGGAAAUUGUCACGUCUUUAUUUCCUUCUGAAAAAGUGGUGGGGUUAUGGGAAAUUUUCAAAAUAAUAAUGUAGCUAUUGCAAAAAUCAGAAUAGCAUUGCUUUAAAAAUAUUCUCACUGCCUCUGAAUAAAGAUUUGGAAUGCACGUUAAAA
This is a long non-coding RNA of Phyllostomus discolor (pale spear-nosed bat), 1117 nucleotides long. RefSeq lists it as uncharacterized. Lineage: Eukaryota; Metazoa; Chordata; Mammalia; Chiroptera; Phyllostomidae. The transcript has 2 exons. The record is from RefSeq and is a predicted model, not a curated record.